GACGAACGCUGGCGGCGCGCUUAACACAUGCAAGUCGAACGGAAAGGCCUGCUUUCCCUUGUGGAUUGCGGGUACUCGAGUGGCGAACGGGUGAGUAACACGUGAGUGAUCUGCCCCCAACUUGGGUAUAAGCCUGGGAAACUGGGUCUAAUUCCCGAUAGGACUGCAGGGUGGUGCCUGUGGUGGAAAACGAUUUUCUAGUGGUUGGGGAUGAGCUCGCGGCCUAUCAGCUUGUUGGUGGGGUAAUGGCCUACCAAGGCGGCGACGGGUAGCCGGCCUGAGAGGGUGGACGGCCACAUUGGGACUGAGAUACGGCCCAGACGCCUACGGGAGGCAGCAGUGGGGAAUAGUGCACAAUGGGCGGAAGCCUGAUGCAGCGACGCCGCGUGGGGGAUGACGGCCUUCGGGUGGUAAACUCCUUUCGACCGCGAGGAAGCCACCUGGUUGGAAGGGUGGUGACGGUAGUGGUAGAAGAAGCACCGGCUAACUACGUG
RNAcentral lists this ribosomal RNA (494 nucleotides) under uncultured bacterium. Its description in RNAcentral is "partial 16S ribosomal RNA". It matches the Rfam family "Bacterial small subunit ribosomal RNA", at positions 28 to 507 of the family's 1533-position model. The record is from RNAcentral.